This 323-nucleotide ribosomal RNA is filed under the name uncultured bacterium. RNAcentral describes it as "bacterial SSU rRNA". It matches the Rfam family "Bacterial small subunit ribosomal RNA", at positions 8 to 334 of the family's 1533-position model. The record is from RNAcentral.
AGGGUUUGAUUAUGGCUCAGGAUGAACGCUGGCGGCGUGCUUAACACAUGCAAGUCGAACGAGGGUGAUAGCAAUAUUACCCGAGUGGCGGACGGGUGAGUAACGCGUGAACAAUCUGCCUAUGUCAGGGGAAUAACACUAAGAAAUUGGUGCUAAUACCGCAUAAGACCACGAGGAGGCAUCUUCUUGGGGUAAAAGAUUUAUCGGACAUAGAUGAGUUCGCGUCCCAUUAGGUAGUUGGUGAGGUAACGGCUCACCAAGCCGACGAUGGGUAGCCGACCUGAGAGGGUGAUCGGCCACAUUGGAACUGAGAGACGGUCCAG